RNAcentral lists this long non-coding RNA (3532 nucleotides) under Sparus aurata (gilthead seabream). Its description in RNAcentral is "lncRNA (ENSSAUG00010024628.1)". Lineage: Eukaryota; Metazoa; Chordata; Actinopteri; Spariformes; Sparidae. The record is from RNAcentral.
UCAAAGACACAAACUUCUUCAUGAGAGUUACAGAACAAAUACAGUUAUUUAUAUACAAAUAUACAGAAACUGGGUGAAUGUGGACAGCAGCAGCGAGAUGGAGAUGAUAAUGUGGUCGGUGUCUUCAUCUGGGAAACACUGUGACUGUGUGUGAGCACCAAGCAUCCAUGUUAUAAACACAGAGUCCAGCUGUGGUCCUGCAAUAUCUCGGAUCAGAACAUGGUGCACCUGCUGAGUGCAAGGUCUCUGUACAGAUGUUCUGAUGUUGAGGUGGAGACGGGUCUCUGUACAGAUGUUCUGGAUGUUGAGGUGGAGACGGGUCUCUGUACAGAUGUUCUGGAUGUUGAGGUGGAGACGGGUCUCUGUACAGAUGUUCUGAUGUUGAGGUGGAGACGGGUCUCUGUACAGAUGUUCUGGAUGUUGAGGUGGAGACGGGUCUCAGUACAGAUGUUCUGGAUGUUGAGGUGGAGACGGGUCUCUGUACAGAUGUUCUGGAUGUUGAGGUGGAGACAGUUCUGUACAGAUGUUCUGGAUGUUGAGGUGGAGAAGGGUCUCUGUACAGAUGUUCUGAUGUUGAGGUGGAGACGGGUCUCUGUACAGAUGUUCUGGAUGUUGAGGUGGAGAUGGGUCUCUGUACAGAUGUUCUGAUGUUGAGGUGGAGACGGGUCUCUGUACAGAUGUUCUGGAUGUUGAGGUGGAGACGGGUCUCUGUACAGAUGUUCUGGAUGUUGAGGUGGAGAUGGGUCUCUGUACAGAUGUUCUGAUGUUGAGGUGGAGACGGGUCUCUGUACAGAUGUUCUGAUGUUGAGGUGGAGACGGGUCUCUGUACAGAUGUUCUGGAUGUUGAGGUGGAGACGGGUCUCUGUACAGAUGUUGAGGUGGAGAAGGGUCUCUGUACAGAUGUUGAGGUGGAGAAGGGUCUCUGUACAGAUGUUGAGGUGGAGACGGGUCUCUGUACAGAUGUUGAGGUGGAGAAGGGUCUCUGUACAGAGAUCAGUUUGGGUCUGUGAUCACAGAGUUGGAGCUGUAUGGAGACAUCUGAAGUUUCUUUGGUUGUUUCUCUGAUUGAAGUCUGCAGCUGCUUCAGUUGUUCAGCAGAACGCUGCAACUCUGUUUUACUGUGAAGCUCCAGAACUGUUCUGUGGACUACCACACUUCACCUGACUUUAUAUCAUCAGGAGGAGAGGAGGACUUUAUAUCAUCAGGAGGAGGAGAGGAGAACUUUAUAUCAUCAGGAGGAGGAGAGGAGGACUUUAUAUCAUCAGUAGGAGGAGAGGAGGACUUAUAUCAUCAGGAGGAGGAGGAGGAGAGGAGGACUUUAUAUCAUCAGGAGGAGAGAGGAGGACUUUAUAUCAUCAGGAGGAGGAGAGGAGGACUUUAUAUCAUCAGGAGGAGGAGAGGAGGACUUUAUAUCAUCAGGAGGAGGAGAGGAGGACUUUAUAUCCUCAGGAGAGGAGAGGAGGACUUUAUAUCAUCAGGAGGAGGAGAGGAGGACUUUAUAUCAUCAGGAGGAGGAGAGGAGGACUUUAUAUCAUCAGGAGGAGGAGAGGAGGACUUUAUAUCAUCAGGAGGAGAGAGGAGGACUUUAUAUCAUCAGGAGGAGGAGAGGAGGACUUUAUAUCAUCAGGAGGAGGAGAGGAGGAGUUAUAUCAUCAGGAGGAGGAGAGGAGGACUUAUAUCAUCAGGAGGAGGAGGAGGAGGACUUUAUAUCAUCAGGAGGAGGAGAGGAGGACUUUAUAUCAUCAGGAGGAGGAGAGGAGGACUUUAUAUCAUCAGGAGGAGGAGAGGAGGACUUUAUAUCAUCAGGAGGAGGAGAGGAGGACUUUAUAUCAUCAGGAGGAGGAGAGGAGGACUUUAUAUCAUCAGGAGGAGGAGAGGAGGACUUUAUAUCAUCAGGAGGAGGAGAGGAGGACUUUAUAUCAUCAGGAGGAGGAGAGGAGGACUUUAUAUCAUCAGGAGGAGAGGAGGACUUUAUAUCAUCAGGAGGAGGAGAGGAGGACUUUAUAUCAUCAGGAGGAGGAGAGGAGGACUUUAUAUCAUCAGGAGGAGGAGAGGAGGACUUUAUAUCAUCAGGAGGAGGAGAGGAGGACUUUAUAUCAUCAGGAGGAGGAGAGGAGGACUUUAUAUCAUCAGGAGGAGGAGAGGAGGACUUUAUAUCAUCAGGAGGAGGAGAGGAGGACUUUAUAUCAUCAGGAGGAGAGGAGGACUUUAUAUCAUCAGGAGGAGGAGAGGAGGACUUUAUAUCAUCAGGAGGAGAGAGGAGGACUUUAUAUCAUCAGGAGGAGGAGAGGAGGACUUUAUAUCAUCAGGAGGAGGAGAGGAGGACUUUAUAUCAUCAGGAGGAGGAGAGGAGGACUUUAUAUCAUCAGGAGGAGAGGAGGACUUUAUAUCAUCAGGAGGAGGAGAGGAGGACUUUAUAUCAUCAGGAGGAGAGGAGGACUUUAUAUCAUCAGAGGAGGAGAGGAGGACUUUAUAUCAUCAGGAGGAGGAGAGGAGGACUUUAUAUCAUCAGGAGGAGGAGAGGAGGACUUAUAUCAUCAGGAGGAGAGGAGGACUUUAUAUCAUCAGGAGGAGGAGAGGAGGACUUUAUAUCAUCAGGAGGAGGAGAGGAGGACUUUAUAUCAUCAGGAGGAGGAGAGGAGGACUUAUAUCAUCAGGAGGAGGAGAGGAGGACUUUAUAUCAUCAGGAGGAGGAGAGGAGGACUUUAUAUCAUCAGGAGGAGGAGAGGAGGACUUUAUAUCAUCAGGAGGAGGAGAGGAGGACUUAUAUCAUCAGGAGGAGGAGAGGAGGACUUAUAUCAUCAGGAGGAGGAGAGGAGGACUUUAUAUCAUCAGGAGGAGGAGAGGAGGACUUUAUAUCAUCAGGAGGAGGAGAGGAGGACUUUAUAUCAUCAGGAGGAGGAGAGGAGGACUUUAUAUCAUUCAGGAGGAGGAGAGGAGGACUUUAUAUCAUCAGGAGGAGGAGAGGAGGACUUUAUAUCAUCAGGAGGAGGAGAGGAGGACUUUAUAUCACAGGAGGAGGAGAGGAGGACUUUAUAUCAUCAGGAGGAGGAGAGGAGGACUUUAUAUCAUCAGGAGGAGGAGAGGAGGACUUUAUAUCAUCAGGAGGAGGAGAGGAGGACUUUAUAUCAUCAGGAGGAGGAGAGGAGGACUUUAUAUCAUCAGGAGGAGGAGAGAGGACUUUAUAUCCUCAGGAGGAGAGGAGGACUUUAUAUCAUCAGGAGGAGGAGAGGAGGACUUUAUAUCAUCAGGAGGAGGAGAGGAGGGACUUUAUAUCAUCAGGAGGAGGAGAGGAGGACUUUAUAUCAUCAGGAGGAGGAGAGGAGGACUUUAUAUCAUCAGGAGGAGGAGAGGAGGACUUUAUAUCAUCAGGAGGAGGAGAGGAGGACUUUAUAUCAUCAGGAGGAGGAGAGGAGGACUUUACUUAUUCUUUAAAAUCAAAGAUCUUCUGUUCAGAUAACUUUCAAUCUCAACUCUAACUGACUUCAUUGAGUCUACAUCAGUUCACACACACUGACGGUUGAUUCCGUCU